RNAcentral lists this long non-coding RNA (257 nucleotides) under Rattus norvegicus (Norway rat). Its description in RNAcentral is "long non-coding RNA NONRATT012323". The record is from RNAcentral. Lineage: Eukaryota; Metazoa; Chordata; Mammalia; Rodentia; Muridae.
AUCAAAGUGCAAAGGAAGACAUGGGCUGUGUCUCCUGUCUGAGUCCCAAAGGGAGCCGUCCAGUCAAGCACAGGCGAACUGACUGCUUCUCACCUUCAGUUGCUGCCCAGCAAGCCUCUGGCACCAGAACAGGGCAAGGAGUAGGUGGCUCAGGCUGUCCUUGCCUUCUCACACCGAUUUUCUAGAAGGUGUCCCAUCUGCCCAGCCAUUGUGUCCCCCAUGCCUCCUAGUAAUAAACUUGGUGUUGUCCCUGUAAA